GAGCAACCUGUUACCGUGGCGACUGCUCCCUUAGCAUGCAACCGCACACCCUUGGGGACACAAGGGUUGGUGAAGUUGGCCGGGUACGAGUGCGGACCAUCAGAGGCUUGGCUGUGGAGACACGUGAAGCUGAACACAGUGGGUCUCCCUCGGUGUCACUCUGAGACACUUGCUUGGAGGAGGCUCCCUCCUUGGACGAGCUGUAGCCGUCAUAUCCCACAUCCUCUGGCCUCAGCUGGAGCAGCGACUGGCCUUCCUGCUGCAGCGAGGCAGCGUUCCAUGGAUACGUGUCAUUCACCCACUUGGAUGGAUCCUCCCAUGCUGCUCUUUUGCCGUAAAGCUGCAGAGUGGUCAAAAUUGGAGAGGAGGUGUAGUUGAAGGUAGCCGCAGGGCAGCAGCUCUGGCACUUCGGAGGCGUGGGCACGAACCACCCCGCCCAUCCUGUAGCAGACGAUGCUGUCUGAGUUGAGACCCAGGCUGGUCAGGGGGUCCACCCGAAACACAUACUCCUGCAGAGAGGGAGCGGAAAACAUGAAGAGCUGCAACAUUGAUCGUGCUUAAAAAUAUGUUGUGACUCCAUCUUGUUGUCGAACAAGAUUUACAGUUACUGAUCAUAUUGACUGUGGGAUCUGGUUUUGUCUGUCUGUGAUUCUUACAAAAUAAGUCAGACAUAACUUCAGUUGGAGGAGGGAUGCAUCUUUGCACCAUUAGAGUGAGAAGGACAUCCUAUCAGUCUCAUCGUACAAGUAAAAAAAUUUGGUUCUUUGACCUUCAACUCCAGGCACUCAAGUGAAUAGUUAGGAAUGAAAUUUGCUGUACUGAUAUCAAAUGCAAUGCAUUCAUUGCUCUCUCUUUUUCAAGUAGUGUCAGCUCAAAAAGAGGUUGUCAGUGAAUGAGCCCUAAUUAUUGUUAAACGCCCUUUUAGAAGAAGCAUCUGACAAAUCAUCUUCACCACAUGAACAAAUAUCACUCAAUAAGACCAGAGGCAGAUACGAUUUUAAUUGCUAUGUAGUUAUUUAAUGCUACAUUAUGCAUGCUGGUUCGCUGAUAUUAAUAAAAUGGAACGAUCAUCAUUUAAGCUAUUAAAAAUGCCCGUGCCUCUACUACUACGAGUCAUAAUGUCUGCUGUGAAAAAACCUACCACCUGCCUCAAACGACAGACCUGUAACUACGAGCAAAGACCUUUAUCGUUUACCUUGAAGAGGCGUCGUAUCACCCCGUCCAGGACGUCCCACUUGGUUUUCCCACUCACACCUAUCGACCCAAUCAGGUACUCCUGGGUUUGUGUACCCUGAGGAGUUGUCAAAUUCGUGAAAAAAAAACACAGGAGUCGGGUAUGAAUACGGUGGUUUGAGAUGGAAAAAAGGGUAAAAUAAUGUGGAAUCUCCGUCCACUGACCUUAGUGGUAUAUGGCCCGCUGCUGAUGGUCACCACUAUCCGCACACUCCGGCCCUCUUUGCGCAGAUUGCCCUCGUAGCUGUCAUCUAGCAGAAUAUCUGAAAGUAAAAACUUUCUGUCAGGAAAGACAAGCAACUUUGAUCUGUUAAAGCCUUGAUUCAUUAUAGGCAAAGUCUCAUUCUGCCUGCCAACAAAUUAUCGGCGGGAAUGGACAAACAGACCACGAAGUAAAAACAACGAAACAACAGUUAAUGGGUUUCUUUC
This is a long non-coding RNA of Scophthalmus maximus (turbot), 1662 nucleotides long. RefSeq lists it as uncharacterized. NCBI's taxonomy places the organism in Eukaryota, Metazoa, Chordata, Actinopteri, Pleuronectiformes, Scophthalmidae. The transcript has 3 exons. The record is from RefSeq and is a predicted model, not a curated record.